GCUGUCCAGAUUACGAGACAAUUUGAAGCGUUACUUUCUUUUCUAAGUGCUGCUGUUCUACAACCAUAAUGUCCCUGGGAAGAGUUUAAGUGGCUCACUACCUUCUUACACUCGUGUUCACCUUUAAUAUCUCAUUCUUGUCCCAGGUGUUACCAGGCAGUUUAUAAAUGGUUGUCAAAAGCAACUUCUGAGUCUUGCUACUGGCCACAGCAGAGGAAAGGAUUGCAGUGGGGGAGAGGGAUAUCCUCGUCUGCUAUCCCAUUCAAUCUUCCUUCCCAGUUUUUCAGGCAGUUUUGCUGCCUAAACAUUAAUACAUAUCCUAGUUAUCCAGAAUGGACCGCGUUUUGUAACCUCUCACUAAUGAGCAUAGCAGAAAUGGAAAUUAAAGAGCAGUUCCUGAUGCCGCCGUGUCUGCUGGCAGCAGGCAGGUUUCUCUCUCAUCACCAGAAGUGUUUCAGAAACUUCCCUUUAAAAAAAAAAAAAAAAAAAAAAAAAGGAUGGCAAUUAAUUACCACGGGGUGGUUUUAAUGUGUGCUUUUAGUAACUUUGCAGUGAAGCCAGGCUUGAUUAUUUUCAGAUGCGGGAGCCCGUUGCCCAGCAGAGGGAGCACAGUCUGCCUGCGGACCCUGUGCAUGGGCAGAAGCGCUCAGAAAGACUUCCUCAGCCCAUACAGCAGGACACCUCUGCUGCGGUUCCCACCAGAUCAGCUGUUUUUGAUGGCUGAGACAGCAUGGGGAGCCCACGCCUGCCCCCAGCCUUGCUUCUCUGUGGUUUCUGCUGAGUGCUGGGGAAAAGAUCCACACUGGUGAGCUAAACCUACACGUAUACACAUAUAUCCAUGUAUUCAUACAUGUAUGUGCACAUAUAUAUAUAUAAAUAUACAAAUAUAAACAUAUAUAAUUAUAAAUAGAUAUAUAUUGAACAUAUAUAUGUAUGUAGAAAUGCAUGUAUUAAUAUUAGAAAUAAAUCACUGGACCUAGAUGAUCUUGAGGUAUUA
RNAcentral lists this long non-coding RNA (997 nucleotides) under Anas platyrhynchos platyrhynchos (common mallard). RNAcentral describes it as "lncRNA (ENSAPLG00000028178.1)". The record is from RNAcentral. Lineage: Eukaryota; Metazoa; Chordata; Aves; Anseriformes; Anatidae.